Molecule: long non-coding RNA, 249 nt
Organism: Globicephala melas (long-finned pilot whale)
Lineage: Eukaryota; Metazoa; Chordata; Mammalia; Artiodactyla; Delphinidae
Source: RefSeq, a predicted model, not a curated record
AGGACCUGCUACCCUCCAAGACACCCGGAAACCUUGUACCAGCUGGACUGGGCCAUCUACCUGUGGGAGACAGGACAAAGCACACCAGGGGGAGAGCUGGAGCCACUGAAAGGAAAGCAUGACCACCUAUUCCAGGCCGGGCCACCAGGACAGACCUGGAACCAGGCAGUCCCAGGUGGGGCCCUCACCGUGAACACUGAGGGAGCCGGAUGCUUCGGCGCGGCCCACGCUGUUCUCCGCCACACAGGU